RNAcentral lists this transfer RNA (83 nucleotides) under Bacteroidota bacterium. Its description in RNAcentral is "Bacteroidetes bacterium tRNA-Leu". It matches the Rfam family "tRNA". Rfam says of the family: Transfer RNA (tRNA) molecules are approximately 80 nucleotides in length. RNAcentral also lists the same sequence under 5 other names. The record is from RNAcentral. Lineage: Bacteria; Pseudomonadati; Bacteroidota.
GCGGAAGUGGCGAAAUUGGCAGACGCACCAUCUUGAGGGGGUGGCGCCCACAAGGCAUGCGGGUUCAAGUCCCGCCUUCCGCA